This 253-nucleotide ribosomal RNA is filed under the name uncultured bacterium. RNAcentral's name for it is "partial 16S ribosomal RNA". It matches the Rfam family "Bacterial small subunit ribosomal RNA", at positions 524 to 776 of the family's 1533-position model. The record is from RNAcentral.
GACGUAGGGCGCGAGCGUUGUCCGGAUUUAUUGGGCGUAAAGAGCUCGUAGGCGGCUUGUCGCGUCGACUGUGAAAACCCGCAGCUCAACUGCGGGCCUGCAGUCGAUACGGGCAGGCUAGAGUUCGGUAGGGGAGACUGGAAUUCCUGGUGUAGCGGUGAAAUGCGCAGAUAUCAGGAGGAACACCGGUGGCGAAGGCGGGUCUCUGGGCCGAUACUGACGCUGAACUGCGAAAGCCAGGGGAGCAAACGGG